This 212-nucleotide long non-coding RNA is filed under the name Anas platyrhynchos platyrhynchos (common mallard). RNAcentral describes it as "lncRNA (ENSAPLG00000028984.1)". The record is from RNAcentral. Lineage: Eukaryota; Metazoa; Chordata; Aves; Anseriformes; Anatidae.
ACUAGCAUAAAAAGUUAAGAAACAAAAACAGAAGAUAAAGGAUAUAUUUUGAAAUGAGAUGGCAUGGAUCUUUUAAAAGUCUGUAUUUCCUGGAGAUGGCAAAUGUAACAGGUCUUCUGAGUAAUUAUUUGAGAGGCUCGGACUGCAGAGAGCUGUUUAUCCUAACCUAAGGUUUUCUCUCAUUUCUUUGAUUAUUGAAAAAACAUAAACAA